This 776-nucleotide long non-coding RNA is filed under the name Gallus gallus (chicken). Its description in RNAcentral is "lncRNA (ENSGALG00010007150.1)". Lineage: Eukaryota; Metazoa; Chordata; Aves; Galliformes; Phasianidae. The record is from RNAcentral.
AAAAAAAACCCUAAAGAUUUACACAUCUUUUGAGAGGGUUAAAAUGGCAUGAUAGCGCAGAAUGAAAAGGGGUUAUUUUUUGUUUUUAAAGUGAUGUUUACAAUCUUCUGAGCUGACUCAAGUUGCUUUCUGGUCUUUCUCCUUUGCUUCCAGUUUAUUUGUUUUGCUUAUGGUUUUGAGUUGUCCAGCCUACUGAGGAGGUAGAGGAGCCAUGAGGAGGUAUCUGACUCCUCAUGUUUGAAGUGUUGUUUUUCGGUCUUUUCUCAGUCUACUUCAAUUAAGGUUUUUUUUCCAACAGCUUCAGAAUUCCUAGGUUAAUACUGAAUUAAUGCAUUUAGUUGAAAGAGAAAAGACCUUGCUGAAAAGGAGUGUAUGUAGAGGAUUAGGUAUUGUAGUUCCAAUUGUUCCACACUCUAAAUAAUGGACACAUUGUGAUGACUGUAUUUAGCAUUAAUUUGUCUCAUUUGAAUCACCUUCAAGACAUUAAGGUCAAGAACAUGUCUACCUUCCAAACCAGAGGUAUUUAAAAGUGUAGAAUGGAGAGGGAGCACGAAGACUUACCCUACCACUUGUCAAGCAUCAGAAACCAUAUAGAAUGUUAACUUUAAAAUUCUGUCGAUUCCAGUGGAGCAGGAUACGGGUAACCUACUUAGGGUCAAAUGUGUUUUAGCUGCUGUUGGAGAAAAUGCAUCUAUUAUGCUUUGAAGCUUAAAGAAUGACUCAGCACAACUUCAGCUGACACGAACCACGGAGAGCCGCGAUGUGUGCGACCACGC